GACGAACGCUUGCGGCGUGCUUAACACAUGCAAGUCGAACGGAAAGGCCCUGCUUUUGUGGGGUGCUCGAGUGGCGAAAGGGUGAGUAACACGUGAGUAACCUGCCCUUGACUUUGGGAUAACUUCAGGAAACUGGGGCUAAUACCGGAUAGGAGCUCCUGCUGCAUGGUGGGGGUUGGAAAGUUUCGGCGGUUGGGGAUGGACUCGCGGCUUAUCAGCUUGUUGGUGGGGUAGUGGCUUACCAAGGCUUUGACGGGUAGCCGGCCUGAGAGGGUGACCGGCCACAUUGGGACUGAGAUACGGCCCAGACUCCUACGGGAGGCAGCAGUGGGGAAUAUUGCACAAUGGGCGGAAGCCUGAUGCAGCAACGCCGCGUGCGGGAUGACGGCCUUCGGGUUGUAAACCGCUUUCGCCUGUGACGAAGCGUGAGUGACGGUAAUGGGUAAAGAAGCACCGGCUAACUACGUG
This 468-nucleotide ribosomal RNA is filed under the name uncultured bacterium. Its description in RNAcentral is "partial 16S ribosomal RNA". It matches the Rfam family "Bacterial small subunit ribosomal RNA", at positions 28 to 507 of the family's 1533-position model. The record is from RNAcentral.